GACGAACGCUGGCGGCGUGCUUAACACAUGCAAGUCGAACGGAAAGGCCUCUUUCGGGGGGUACUCGAGUGGCGAACGGGUGAGUAACACGUGAGUAACCUGCCCUUGACUUUGGGAUAACUUCAGGAAACUGGGGCUAAUACCGGAUAGGAGCUCCUGCUUCAUGGUGGGGGUUGGAAAGUUUCGGCGGUUGGGGAUGGACUCGCGGCUUAUCAGCUUGUUGGUGGGGUAGUGGCUUACCAAGGCUUUGACGGGUAGCCGGUCUGAGAGGGUGACCGGCCACAUUGGGACUGAGAUACGGCCCAGACUCCUACGGGAGGCAGCAGGGGGGAAUAGUGCACAAGGGGUGGAAGCCUGAUGCAGCAACGCCGUGUGCGGGAUGACGGCCUUCGGGUUGUAAACCGCUUUCGCUCAUGACGAAGCUUUGUGUGACGGUAGUGGGUAAAGAAGCACCGGCUAACUACGUG
This 467-nucleotide ribosomal RNA is filed under the name uncultured bacterium. RNAcentral describes it as "partial 16S ribosomal RNA". It matches the Rfam family "Bacterial small subunit ribosomal RNA", at positions 28 to 507 of the family's 1533-position model. The record is from RNAcentral.